UGGGAAAUAUUGCACAAUGGGCGCAAGCCUGAUGCAGCCAUGCCGCGUGUGUGAAGAAGGCCUUCGGGUUGUAAAGCACUUUCAGCGAGGAGGAAGGUGGUGAGCUUAAUACGCUCAUCAAUUGACGUUACUCGCAGAAGAAGCACCGGCUAACUCCGUGCCAGCAGCCGCGGUAAUACGGAGGGUGCAAGCGUUAAUCGGAAUUACUGGGCGUAAAGCGCACGCAGGCGGUUUGUUAAGUCAGAUGUGAAAUCCCCGGGCUCAACCUGGGAACUGCAUUUGAAACUGGCAAGCUAGAGUCUCGUAGAGGGGGGUAGAAUUCCAGGUGUAGCGGUGAAAUGCGUAGAGAUCUGGAGGAAUACCGGUGGCGAAGGCGGCCCCCUGGACGAAGACUGACGCUCAGGUGCGAAAAGCGUGGGGAGCAAAACAGGAUUAGAUACCCUGGUAGUCCACGCUGUAAAACGAUGUCGAUUUUGGAGGUUGUGCCCUUGAGGCGUGGCUUCCGGAGCUAACGCGUUAAAUCGACCGCCU
RNAcentral lists this ribosomal RNA (531 nucleotides) under uncultured bacterium. RNAcentral describes it as "partial 16S ribosomal RNA". It matches the Rfam family "Bacterial small subunit ribosomal RNA", at positions 355 to 874 of the family's 1533-position model. The record is from RNAcentral.